UUGAUCUCCAACAUCCACAACCUUCUUCAUUCAUGUUAUAUGAUCUUAGAUAUAGAGCUUCAGACACAUCUUUCCUUGGAUCGAAGUAAAGAUGAAGAAUAUGGCAUGACAUUAUUUCUCCCUCCACAAAUGAAAUUUUGCAGCUGUACNNUGGAGUGUUCCAUUUUUUUUAAUCUAACAAAUGGGUUUUAUAGCCUUCCUUUUCUUCCACG
Molecule: unclassified non-coding RNA, 212 nt
Filed under: Hevea brasiliensis (rubber tree)
Lineage: Eukaryota; Viridiplantae; Streptophyta; Magnoliopsida; Malpighiales; Euphorbiaceae
Source: RNAcentral